UACGUAGGGACCGAGCGUUGUCCGGAUUCAUUGGGCGUAAAGAGCUCGUAGGCGGCCACUCAAGUCGAAUGUGAAACCUCGAGGCUUAACCUCGAGCCUGCAUUCGAUACUGGGCGGCUAAAGUCUGGUAGGGGGAUCUGGAAUUCCUGGUGUAGCGGUGGAAUGCGCAGAUAUCAGGAGGAACACCGGUGGCGAAGGCGGGUCUCUGGGCCGAUACUGACGCUGAGGAGCGAAAGCGUGGGGAGCGAACAGG
This 253-nucleotide ribosomal RNA is filed under the name uncultured bacterium. Its description in RNAcentral is "partial 16S ribosomal RNA". It matches the Rfam family "Bacterial small subunit ribosomal RNA", at positions 524 to 776 of the family's 1533-position model. The record is from RNAcentral.